GAUUCUGUAUUAAUUGCUGGGAGAGAAAGAGAAACUUGGUCAAUAAGAAAGGCAUUGCAGUUUGUUGAGAUGGAAAAACAUAGGACUUGCACAGCAAAAAAUGUUUUGGCUUGGAAUUGAAGGUAACUGCACAUAUCCAGCCUGAGUGGAGCAAUGUCCCCCUGUGAGUUAUUUCCCCCCUUAUCUCUGUUAUACACUGCUUAGCAAACUCCGAGUGCACUGUGCCCAACUUAUGCUCUCUUAAUAUGAAAUCUGAAUGAAAGCUGGAGUCAUAUAUCACUCCAGUGAAAAACUGCAAAAAGACUGGCAUGUUAUCAGUUGUUACUUCCUACAAGAGCAAGCUGUGUUGUGUGGUUGCAUUAUCUGAUACUGAGCGGGCUGGUGGGGCUGGGUGCAGCCAUUUAAAAAUGUGAUUUGUGUUUUUCUUCACAGAAAUCAGCCUAAAAUACUUCCUGGGGCUUUUCUCAGAAUCUGUGUCAGUGCAGCGAAGUAACUAGUGUCAGCUCUGUCUCAGGAGAGUAGAAAUUUAGCAUGGUGACACUAAUGUCUUUAUAAGAUGACCUAGAUUAGAAAUGUCUUGUUCCUGGUUUGCAGAAUUCUGUUCAAAUAUUUAAUAUGACUCGGAGAUGUUUUAUUUUUUCGUUUCUUCCUGUAGAGACAGAAAUAAAAUUGUUUAAAAUGCUUUUAGGAUCCAAACAGUUUCAGUGGUGAGAAUUCUAGUUCAGGAACUAGAAUUAGAAUCAGACACAUGCAGUCUGCCCCCCUGGUCUACAUACUGCUAUGGCAUGAAUAGGGAUGAGAAAUUUCCUGUGUUUUGUCUGCUGCUUAUGCCUGUAUGGAUUUCACCUUCAGAAUUUUAAAAGAUAUAUAGCUUACGAGUUAGAAGUUGGAAUUAGAUUAUAAAUGAGACUGCUGAAAAUCCAGGUUGCCUUACUCAAAGCAUGUAGGUAACUUCUUGUUGAAGCCUGGAGGGGUAGGACCAGUGCAAUCCCAGUUUUGGUCCAGUCAGAUCUGAAGUCCAGACCACAGAGCUGGCUAAUCUAAAGCAGGGGCCAGGGAUGGCUUGUCCUCACCAGGAAGAAUUUGCUGCUUUUCCCUCCCAUCUCUCUGGUUACUUCCUCAAGAUUCUGCCUGUGUUUAAAGAACCUGAAAUAAUCUGUAUAGGCAUAUGACUGGGAUGGAGAAAGGACUAUCUACUUUUUCUGUUAACAUCACCAUUUCCCCCAUGGCAUAAAGCUCCCUGUCAG
Sturnus vulgaris (Common starling) is the source of this 1247-nucleotide non-coding RNA. The record is from RefSeq and is a predicted model, not a curated record. NCBI's taxonomy places the organism in Eukaryota, Metazoa, Chordata, Aves, Passeriformes, Sturnidae.